AGCUCCAUCUCCCCACCCCCUGCACUCCCUCUGCUCCCCUCCCCUCCUCCGGCGCAGACCCUCCCCUCUCCCCUCCAGCCUGGACACGCCCGCCUCCCCUUGACUCCCCCCAGCUCUGGGCCCCCACCUCCCCUCCCCUCCAGCACAGUCACCCCCAUUUCUCUCCUAUCCGCCAUCCUGGUUCCUCCCUUCCCCCCACCUCCCAACUCUGUGCCCCGCCAACGUUUCCUAAAUGCCCUCUAUUCAGAUCCCCCCUCCGCCUCCCCUCUCCUCUCCUCCAUUCCUGCGUCCCCCUUCCCCCGCCGCGCCGCCUGGGCUGUCCGUGGACUUCUCCCACUCUCUCACUCUCUCACUCACUCUCUCUCUCUCUCUCUCUCUCUCACUCUCUCUCUCUCUCUCCCCCUCAUUUAUUUGGAACCGUUGGAUAAGAAGUGCUCGGGCUCUCGCUCAGACUUAGGGAGCUGCCUCGAGGUGAUGAAUGACACCCCCUGGCACCAGCUACCCUUCUCAGACCCCAGUCCAGCCCGCUCCCGACGUCGACUACGAUUCCGCUACCUCGGCUGGCAGCGAGGUUGGGGUGAGCCCCAGCUGCAGGCGCGUCUGGGCUGCGCCGCUGCAAACGAGUUGCGCACCUUGGGCGGCUCCGCACCUGCACCCGCACCCGCGGGGCUCAGCCCCGAAGGCUGCAGCUUCGGGGGAGGCGCGGUCGCCGAGGUCCAGCUGGUGGGGCGAGAGACGUCGCCCCUCGGAGGAUGCUCUCGGAACUUGGGAGAGGAAGGAGGGAAGAGAAGAGGGGAAAGGGGCCGUCGAUGUUUUUGAUGUCUGUGCUUUAAUGGAGGCCACCAAUAUUGAGAAGACGGGGUUGGCCGAGGCAGCCCGCACGCUGCUGCUUGCGAGCGCUCGAGUCAAAGCUAGGGCCAACCGCGGCUUGUCCGGGUGCCCUAAGGGGGCGGACACUUGGUUUAGCACCGGGACACAGAAUAGCCACCGGGGUAGGAAGAUGCGUUCACUUUGCUUACCUGUUGGCAAGAGGGACAUACAAAAAUAACGUAACGUGACAUCGUUGACAACGGUAGCUCUUUGAUUACACAAAAGCCAAUUUUACCUUCCCGCAAAAGCCAGUUGACGCCUUUGGAACUUUUAUUUGCGGCAUUUUGGCGCCCUCUGGCUGUGUUUGGAUCGCUUUCAUGCUCGCCUGCGUCCCAGCCAAGAAAAAAUCGAUGGAGCUGCAGGUUGUCCUCAGGAUGGUUCUGCCCUCAGGACCUGGGCGUGAAUUCAGGGACAGGGUGGCCCUCCAGAACCGGAGUGACAAACUGUAACCAUACUUAGGGAGGCAGACGUCAAAGGCAAGUACAUCUGUAUUCAACUGGGUAAAGCCAUGUGAAGACGUGCCUGCCUCCCUGUUACCUUCCACCAUGAUUGUAAGCUUCCUGAGGCCUCCCCAGCCAUGCCUGCUGUAUAGCCUGCAGAACAGAUUAAUGAAAAUAAAACGCAGACCUUAUAAGCAGACGCUGUGAUUUUGUAAUAAAGAGGGGCAGCUUUUACAGGAAAAAGAACCCGAGGGAAGCUGUUGGCAGUCUGUGAAACGACGGUCAUGGUGGAAUUCGUUUUUCUGCACAUUAGAUGUUUAAAACAGCUGGUUUUCGUUGUUGUUGUUGUUGUUGUUUUCCUGAAAGAAUCUUGUUCCCCACAAUAUGUUCUUGGUAUUCAAAAUGGCUUUUGCUCCUACUUUUUGGAAAAUGCACUUCAGUUUCCAAUUUAUUCAUUUGUUAGUGGGUUCAUCAAUUAGUUUAUUCAUCAAUUAGUUCAUCCAUUGUGGAAGACAGUGUGGCGAUUCCUCAAGGAUCUAGAACCAAAAAUACCAUUUGACCCAGCAGUCCCAUUACUGGGCUUAUUGAAGUCUCCUAAUGUGAAUUUCUACUCCUGGACAUAAUACCUUCUUCUCAGAAAUAAGACAGAGUUUUCCCCUGCACUUCUUUAUAUGCUUUUUUCUCUGACUUUUGCCAUGUGGUUUUGUUUCUCCCAUGGCUUGAAAGAGCAGGAAAACUGAAGGUACCAACUGAAAGUGCUGCUUCCUGCUUUUGGUUUUCCUUCAUUUUAUUUCAUUUUUCAAGCUGAGUCUCACUCUGUUGCCCAGGCUGAAAUGCAGCUCAACCAUCACGGCUCACAGCAGCCUUGACCUCCUGAGCUCAAGCAGUCCUCCUUCCUCAGCCUCCCGAGUAGCUAGGACCAUAGGUGUGCACCGCCACCCUUAGCUUUUUUUUUUUUUUUUUUUUUGUAGAGACAGAGUCUCCCUAUGUUUCCCAGACUCGGUGUUUUUCAAAUAUUUGAAAAUGUAAAAGCCAUUCUUAGCCCACAGGCUGUACAAAAACAGAUGGAGGGCCAGAUUUAACCCAUGGGCAGUGGUUGGCCAAACCCUUGUGUAUCCCAUGCCAUGCCCUACUAUUCCAGACUUAAAAGUUAUAAUUUUAGGAUAAACUUGUUAUAUUUUUGUCAUGUCAGAAGACUGAGUGUAUACAUUUUCUUUUUUUUUUUUUUGACGGAGUUUUGCUCUGUCCCCCAGGCUGGAGUGCAGUGGGGUGAUCUCGGCUCACUACAACCUCUGUCUUCCGAGUUCAAGUGAUUCUCCUGUCUCAGUCUCCUGAGUAGCUGGGAUUACAGGCUCAUGCCACCAUGCCCAGCUAAUUUUUGUAUUUUUAGUAGAAACGGGGUUUUGCCAUGUUGGCCAGGCUGGUCUCGAACUCCUGACCUCAGGUGAUCCACCUGCCUAGGCCUCCCAAAGUGCUGGAAUUACAGGCGUGAGCCACUGCACCUGGCCUGAGCAUAUACAUUUUCAUAGGCAAAAACAUACCUUGGAAAUACUUCUCAGGAAUGUGCACAUAUGAAUUACAAAAUGUAAAAAGCUUCAACUCCAUUAUGAACUGUAAAUGCAUGUGGCAGGAGGCGAUCCUCAUAGAAGCUGUCAGGGCGUGACUUCAUUCUAGAUGCUGUAAGUAGCAAUAAUAAAAGAGGAAGCAAACACGUGCAGCUUCUGGAAUUCAGACCCUGGAGGAAGGAGACAGGUGGCCUUGAGUGAGGAUAUGAGGAACACAGUCAAGGAGAAAAUGCAGCUGGUGAAUUAUAAACAUCCAUGGGCAGACAUAGAAAGUUAGGAACCCCAGCCCUCUAAUGGAACCAAGAAACCAGAGGCCAGUAGGAAACGGCUCCAGGAAGAGCGAAACUUGAUAAAUGUCCUAGACGUCAGUGAGAAAGAUCCGUUUGUUUUGUUUACACUGAAAAUUUUUAAAUUGCAUGACUAUUUAGAGCACUUUUACAUUUUUUGCCUAGAAUUAGAUCCAAAGAAUAAAUGACCUAUUGAGCCUGAAGGGAUUUUAGGAAAAAAUAACUUUUUUAAAAAAAUAUGUUUUUUUGUUUUUUGUGUUUUUUUUUUGAGACAGAGUCUCGCUCUGUCACCCAGGCCGGAGUGCAGUGGUGCUAUCUUGGCUCACUGCAAGCUCUGCCUCCCGGGUUCACGCCAUUCUCCUGCCACAGCCUCCCAAGUAGCUGGGACUACAGGCAUCUGCCACCACCCCCGGUUAAUUUUUUUUUUUUUUGUAUUUUUAGUAAAGACGGGGUUUCACCGGGUUGCCCAAGAUGGUCUCGAUUUCCUGACCUCAUGAUCUGCCAGCCUUGGCCUCUCAAAAUGCUGGGAUUACAGGUGUGAGCCACCAUGCCUGGCCUAAAAAAUAUAUAUUUUUUAAAAAAUAAAGACAAGGGUCUCACUAUGUUGCCCAGCUUGGUCUUGAAAUCUUGGGCUCAAGUGAUCCUCCUGCCUUGGCCUCCCAAAGUGCUAGGAUUACAGACAUGAGCCACUGCACCAGGCCAAGAAAAAGUAUCUUAAUGACAUAUUUUCAUUUGUGUUUUUCUUCAG
RNAcentral lists this long non-coding RNA (3910 nucleotides) under Homo sapiens (human). Its description in RNAcentral is "non-protein coding BASP1-AS1:17". Lineage: Eukaryota; Metazoa; Chordata; Mammalia; Primates; Hominidae. The record is from RNAcentral.